CUGGGUCGGGUUCUGGUGGUGGAUGUUCUCUCACUCUGUCUUUGUUGAUUGUUUGUGACCUUGGAACCAUUGAAGCUCCAACGGAGGAUGCUCCACCUGUUAAUUACACUCCGACGAUCAAUUCAAUGAGAGCACUUAUAUAUUAGAAUGCAAUGUAUAUAGCGUAGGAUCAACUUACCUGGUGGUUAGGGUCUCAUGGUCCUUUUAUACUAGUAGUCAAGCAUUGAUAACUGCAUAAUUUAUCCGUUAAUAUUCUCCCUUAUAUUUUGGGGUUAUAUCUUUGCAGAGUAUCGUCUCUGCCUGUGUCUCUUUUCUUUCCACUCUUCCAAACAACUAAUUGAAUCAGAUAAAAUGUACCUUUGUUGUUUGGACUGUGUUAAUUUUACCAAAAGUGAAUGUUCUU
Molecule: long non-coding RNA, 403 nt
Filed under: Phaseolus vulgaris (common bean)
Lineage: Eukaryota; Viridiplantae; Streptophyta; Magnoliopsida; Fabales; Fabaceae
Description: long non-coding RNA (PVUL_LNC005091)
Source: RNAcentral